CAUGCAGAGUCUUUAAGAAAUUUUGCAUAGAAAUAUUAUGGUUCCCCCAUGCACAUCAAUGAUUUCAUGAUAGAUCUUCUCAUGGGGCCCAGUGAUGCUUUCACCAUAAAAUUAAGAAUGCUAAUUCUGGACACUAGCAAUUAUAUUAGUGACCUUGUCGUUUGAAUUGACAUGGCAUGUUUCUAGUGCCAUUUUUUGGUCAGUUUUUAAUAUGAUGUAUAAUUUCUUCCUUUCCAAAUACAAUUAUUUAAUCAAUAUGAUUGUCACGGGGCUAAUAAUUACUUUGAUGAGAGUCCAAAUUAAGAGUGAAUCAACAACUGGCUUUCUUCAGUGUGUGUACUAAAGGAACACGUUCAGGUAUAGAAGUGCUGAAUUUCUUAUGAAAUUACUGCAGAUUGUGAGUGGAAGGCGCAGG
RNAcentral lists this unclassified non-coding RNA (415 nucleotides) under Hevea brasiliensis (rubber tree). Lineage: Eukaryota; Viridiplantae; Streptophyta; Magnoliopsida; Malpighiales; Euphorbiaceae. The record is from RNAcentral.